CCUACGGGUGGCAGCAGUGAGGAAUAUUGGUCAAUGAGCGCGAGCCUGAACCAGCCAAGUAGCGUGAAGGAUGACUGCCCUACGGGUUGUAAACUUCUUUUAUAAAGGAAUAAAGUGAGGCACGUGUGCCUUUUUGUAUGGACUUUAUGAAUAAGGAUCGGGUAACUCCGUGCCCGCAGCCGCGGUAAGACGGAGGAUCCGAGCGUUAUCCGGAUUUAUUGGGUUUAAAGGGAGCGUAAAUGGGUUGUUAAGUCAGUUGUGAAAGUCUUCGGCGCAACCGUACAAUUGCAAUUGAUACUGGCAGUCUUGAGUACAGUUGAGGUAGGCGGAAUUCGUGGUGUAGCGGUGAAAUGCUUAGAUAUCACGAAGAACUCCGAUUGCGAAGGCAGCUUACUAAACUGCCACUGACAUUGAUGCUCGAAAGUGUGGGUAUCAAACAGGAUUAGAUACCCGGGUAGUC
RNAcentral lists this ribosomal RNA (460 nucleotides) under uncultured bacterium. RNAcentral describes it as "partial 16S ribosomal RNA". It matches the Rfam family "Bacterial small subunit ribosomal RNA", at positions 338 to 795 of the family's 1533-position model. The record is from RNAcentral.